RNAcentral lists this ribosomal RNA (501 nucleotides) under uncultured bacterium. Its description in RNAcentral is "bacterial SSU rRNA". It matches the Rfam family "Bacterial small subunit ribosomal RNA", at positions 28 to 517 of the family's 1533-position model. The record is from RNAcentral.
GAUGAACGCUAGCGGCAGGCUUAACACAUGCAAGUCGAGGGGCAGCAUGAACCGACCUUCGGGAAGGUUUGAUGGCGACCGGCGCAAGGGUGCGUAACGCGUGAGCAACUUGCCCGUUUCUGGGGAAUAACCGGUGGAAACGCCGACUAAUACCCCAUAGCAUCAACUUAGGGCAUCCUUAGUUGAUUAAAGAAUUUCGGAAACGGAUAGGCUCGCGUGACAUUAGCUGGAUGGCGGGGUAACGGCCCACCAUGGCUACGAUGUCUAGGGGUUCUGAGAGGAAGGUCCCCCCACACUGGAACUGAGACACGGUCCAGACUCCUACGGGAGGCAGCAGUGAGGAAUAUUGGUCAAUGGUCUGACGACUGAACCAGCCAUGCCGCGUGAAGGUCACGGCCCUAUGGGUCUUAAACUUCUUUUGCGAGGGAGCAAUAAGGUCUACGUGUAGACUGAUGAGGAUACCUCGCGAAUAAGCAUCGGCUAACUCCGUGCCAGCAGCCG